This 369-nucleotide ribosomal RNA is filed under the name uncultured organism. RNAcentral describes it as "bacterial SSU rRNA". It matches the Rfam family "Bacterial small subunit ribosomal RNA", at positions 526 to 896 of the family's 1533-position model. The record is from RNAcentral.
CGGAGGGUGCGAGCGUUAUCCGGAAUUACUGGGUUUAAAGGGUGCGUAGGCGGCCAUGUAAGUCAGGAGUGAAAGUUUGCGGCUCAACCGUAAAAUUGCUUUUGAUACUGCAUGGCUGGAAUCAGGAUGAGGUCAGCGGAAUGUGGCAUGUAGCGGUGAAAUGCAUAGAUAUGCCAUAGAACACCAAUUGCGAAGGCAGCUGGCUAGACCUGUAUUGACGCUGAGGCACGAAAGCGUGGGGAGCGAACAGGAUUAGAUACCCUGGUAGUCCACGCCCUAAACGAUGCUUACUCGACGUAUGAAGCUGGUCUUUGUGCGUCCAAGGGAAACCGUUAAGUAAGCCACCUGGGGAGUACGACCGCAAGGUUG